Molecule: ribosomal RNA, 611 nt
Filed under: uncultured bacterium
Lineage: Bacteria
Description: bacterial SSU rRNA
Rfam family: Bacterial small subunit ribosomal RNA (bases 1-518)
Source: RNAcentral
CCUACGGGAGGCAGCAGUGGGGAAUAUUGGACAAUGGGCGAAAGCCUGAUCCAGCAAUGCCGCGUGAGUGAUGAAGGCCUUAGGGUUGUAAAGCUCUUUUACCAGGGAUGAUAAUGACAGUACCUGGAGAAUAAGCUCCGGCUAACUCCGUGCCAGCAGCCGCGGUAAUACGGAGGGAGCUAGCGUUGUUCGGAAUUACUGGGCGUAAAGCGUACGUAGGCGGUUAUUCAAGUCAGAGGUGAAAGCCUGGAGCUCAACUCCAGAACUGCCUUUGAAACUAGAUAGCUAGAAUCUUGGAGAGGUGAGUGGAAUUCCGAGUGUAGAGGUGAAAUUCGUAUAUAUUCGGAAGAACACCAGUGGCGAAGGCGACUCACUGGACAAGUAUUGACGCUGAGGUACGAAAGCGUGGGGAGCAAACAGGAUUAGAUACCCUGGUAGUCCACGCCGUAAACGAUGAUAACUAGCUGUUCGGGCUCUACGAGCUUGAGUGGCGCAGCUACGACAUUAAGUUAUCCGUCCGUCGGGAGGUACGGUCGCGAGAAGUUAAACGUUAAAUAGUAAGUUAGUACGGACGUGAGACGUGCCGACGGACGACGACGAGGGAGGUUAGG